GGGCCCGUGGCGCAGUUGGGAGCGCGUCUGACUGGCAGUCAGAAGGUCAGGGGUUCGAAUCCCCUCGGGUCCACCU
Molecule: transfer RNA, 76 nt
Filed under: Chloroflexota bacterium
Lineage: Bacteria; Bacillati; Chloroflexota
Description: Chloroflexi bacterium tRNA-Ala
Rfam family: tRNA
About the family: Transfer RNA (tRNA) molecules are approximately 80 nucleotides in length. Their secondary structure includes four short double-helical elements and three loops (D, anti-codon, and T loops). Further hydrogen bonds mediate the characteristic L-shaped molecular structure. tRNAs have two regions of fundamental functional importance: the anti-codon, which is responsible for specific mRNA codon recognition, and the 3' end, to which the tRNAs corresponding amino acid is attached (by aminoacyl-tRNA synthetases). tRNAs cope with the degeneracy of the genetic code in two manners: having more than one tRNA (with a specific anti-codon) for a particular amino acid; and 'wobble' base-pairing, i.e. permitting non-standard base-pairing at the 3rd anti-codon position.
Source: RNAcentral